CUUCGGCCCGAGUUGUAAUUUGCAGAGGAUGUUUUUGGCGCGGUGCCUUCCGAGUUCCCUGGAACGGGACGCCACAGAGGGUGAGAGCCCCGUAUGGUUGGACACCAAGCCUGUGUAAAACUCCUUCGACGAGUCGAGUAGUUUGGGAAUGCUGCUCUAAAUGGGAGGUAAAUCUCUUCUAAAGCUAAAUACCGGCCAGAGACCGAUAGCGCACAAGUAGAGUGAUCGAAAGAUGAAAAGCACCUUGAAAAGGGGGUUAAACAGUACGUGAAAUUGUUGAAAGGGAAGCGCUCAUGACCAGACUUGUGCCGUGCGGCUCAUCCGGGGUUCUCCCCGGUGCACUCCGCACGGCUCAGGCCAGCAUCGGUUCUCGUUGGGGGAUAAGAACAGUAGGAACGUGGCCCCUCUCGGGGGGUGUUAUAGCCUAUUGUACGAUACCCUGGCGGGGACCGAGGACCGCGCUUCGGCAAGGAUGCUGGCGUAAUGGUCAUCAGCGACCCGUCUUGAAACACGGACCAAGGAGUCGUCCAUUAGAGCGAGCGUUUGGGUGUAAAACCCGCACGCGUAAUGAAAGUGAAAUUAGGUGAGAGCUUCGGCGCAUCAUCGACCGAUCCUGAUGUUCUCGGAUGGAUUUGAGUAAGAGUUUUAACGGACGGACCCGAAAGACAGUGAACUAUGCUUGUAUAGGGUGAAGCCAGAGGAAACUCUGGUGGAGGCUCGCAGCGGUUCUGACGUGCAAAUCGAUCGUCAAAUAUGAGCAUGGGGGCGAAAGACUAAUCGAACUGUCUAGUAGCUGGUUACCGCCGAAGUUUCCCUCAGGAUAGCAGUGUUGACCUUCAGUUUUAUGAGGUAAAGCGAAUGAUUAGGGACUCGGGGGCGCUUAUUAGCCUUCAUCCAUUCUCAAACUUUAAAUAUGUAAGAAGCCCUUGUUACUUAAUUGAACGUGGGCAUUCGAAUGUACCAACACUAGUGGGCCAUUUUUGGUAAGCAGAACUGGCGAUGCGGGAUGAACCGAACGCGGGGUUAAGGCGCCAGAGUGUACGCUCAUCAGACACCACAAAAGGCGUUAGUACAUCUUGACAGCAGGACGGUGGCCAUGGAAGUCGGAAUCCGCUAAGGACUGUGUAACAACUCACCUGCCGAAUGUACUAGCCCUGAAAAUGGAUGGCGCUCAAGCGUACCGCCCAUACCCCGCCUUCAGGGUAGAAACGAUGCC
RNAcentral lists this ribosomal RNA (1216 nucleotides) under Melanconis carthusiana. RNAcentral describes it as "eukaryotic LSU rRNA". It matches the Rfam family "Eukaryotic large subunit ribosomal RNA", at positions 131 to 1373 of the family's 3401-position model. Lineage: Eukaryota; Fungi; Ascomycota; Sordariomycetes; Diaporthales; Melanconidaceae. The record is from RNAcentral.